Centropristis striata (black sea bass) is the source of this 998-nucleotide long non-coding RNA. RefSeq lists it as uncharacterized. The record is from RefSeq and is a predicted model, not a curated record. The transcript is spliced from 6 exons. NCBI's taxonomy places the organism in Eukaryota, Metazoa, Chordata, Actinopteri, Perciformes, Serranidae.
CUUACCGGUAGUAUGAAGUCAGAGAAAGGAGGCUGGAUCCCAGUGUGCGUAAACCUGUUGGACUAAGAAGCCAAAGGAGAAUCAAGCUGCUGUCGUCAAAGUCGGAAACUUUUUUAAUACUUCAUCUCUAGAAUCAUUUUCCAGACCCAGUUUUUCUUCAACUUCAGUACAAGUCUCACCAAACAAAGAGUAUGGACUGGCGAUGGUACUGGAACAGAUUCAUGGAUUUAUACAGAUGGUUUUCAGGCUUAACCAGACCAGCAGUCGCUGAUGGUGGCGGUGUUGUUAGCAACAGGAAAAUUAAAGAUGUAAAGGCAAGAAACGCUGACUUAUCGAUAAGUACAGUGAGCAAUCCAGGUAAUAGUAAAACUGGAAAUGCUGCUGGUACAAAUGGAGCUGCAAGUGGUGGCGGUGUGAUCAGUACUGAUGAAAUAUCUAAUGUCAAACUUUCAGGGGAUUUGAAUAUGCCUAUAUCUGUGAAACGCUAAAAAGCAGAGUAGAGGAGACGAUGUCGUCCUCUCAGUAUGAAGCAAUAGACCAUCUCCUUCCCAUUCACUGCAAGUCUUCAUCACAUCCAGUGCCCAGGGUUUCUUCCACUCAACUCAUGGGAAUCGCCCAGAUCUUCAACUCUCUUCAUCUCAUCACCAUCAGCAUCACCACCAGUGUCUAAACAGAAAGAUCCUAGCUUCCUGACUCCGUCCCACACUCUCAACCUCCACCCUGAACCCAACCACUCCUUGAGCCUUACCCGAGCCAUUUACCACCAUCAACCUUGACCACAACAUUCCUUGUCAUUGUUACAUACAUAGAUCUGCUCUCAAGCUAUAGACCUGUCCUUGAAAAGUAUAUGUGCUUACCUGCUAUAGAGCCCUUUUAAUUCAAACAUGCACUGUGAACAUGUUUUAUUGAUCCAAACUUUUUUAUAUGUAUAGUUUCCCAUUUUUCUUGCUUUAACCUAUAGUGGAAACUCUAAAUAAAGCUUUUUUGGGUAACUCUAA